This 589-nucleotide ribosomal RNA is filed under the name Pseudomonas sp. EECC-284. RNAcentral's name for it is "bacterial SSU rRNA". It matches the Rfam family "Bacterial small subunit ribosomal RNA", at positions 83 to 668 of the family's 1533-position model. Lineage: Bacteria; Pseudomonadati; Pseudomonadota; Gammaproteobacteria; Pseudomonadales; Pseudomonadaceae. The record is from RNAcentral.
ACCUGGUGGCGAGCGGCGGACGGGUGAGUAAUGCCUAGGAAUCUGCCUAGUAGUGGGGGAUAACGUCCGGAAACGGGCGCUAAUACCGCAUACGUCCUACGGGAGAAAGUGGGGGAUCUUCGGACCUCACGCUAUUAGAUGAGCCUAGGUCGGAUUAGCUAGUUGGUGAGGUAAUGGCUCACCAAGGCGACGAUCCGUAACUGGUCUGAGAGGAUGAUCAGUCACACUGGAACUGAGACACGGUCCAGACUCCUACGGGAGGCAGCAGUGGGGAAUAUUGGACAAUGGGCGAAAGCCUGAUCCAGCCAUGCCGCGUGUGUGAAGAAGGUCUUCGGAUUGUAAAGCACUUUAAGUUGGGAGGAAGGGCAGUUACCUAAUACGUGAUUGUUUUGACGUUACCGACAGAAUAAGCACCGGCUAACUCUGUGCCAGCAGCCGCGGUAAUACAGAGGGUGCAAGCGUUAAUCGGAAUUACUGGGCGUAAAGCGCGCGUAGGUGGUUUGUUAAGUUGGAUGUGAAAGCCCCGGGCUCAACCUGGGAACUGCAUCCAAAACUGGCAAGCUAGAGUAUGGUAGAGGGUGGUGGAAUU